UAACCGUGCGAAGGUAGCGCAAUCACUUGUCUUUUAAAUGGAGACCUGUAUGAAUGGCAUAACGAGGGCUUGACUGUCUCCUUUCUCAAGUCAAUGAAAUUGAUCUCCCCGUGCAGAAGCGGGGAUUAACACAUAAGACGAGAAGACCCUAUGGAGCUUUAGACACAAGACAGAUUAUCUUAAUCAACCCAAAAUAAAGGGCGGAACUAGAGAUAAACCUUUCCAGCGUCUUUGGUUGGGGCGACCGUGGGGUAA
Molecule: ribosomal RNA, 255 nt
Filed under: Morone saxatilis (striped sea-bass)
Lineage: Eukaryota; Metazoa; Chordata; Actinopteri; Moronidae
Description: partial 16S ribosomal RNA
Rfam family: Bacterial large subunit ribosomal RNA
Source: RNAcentral